Molecule: long non-coding RNA, 1753 nt
Organism: Pipistrellus kuhlii (Kuhl's pipistrelle)
Lineage: Eukaryota; Metazoa; Chordata; Mammalia; Chiroptera; Vespertilionidae
Exons: 3
Source: RefSeq, a predicted model, not a curated record
CCCAGCUGCUUCCAAGUGGCACACGGCAGCCGCAGCCUCUCGGCUGUGGGUGACCUUUCCCGGCCCCCACCCUACCUGCCCCAUGGGAUUCUGGUGACCCGGGUCUCUGACAAGCACCAGGGGCUCUCUGGGCUGGGGUCUGCAUGACCCAGGAGUGAAGCAGGGGUUUGGGGGAUGCACAGGGGCCAAGACUGGGAGACUUCUGGGCAAGUGGGCAAGGAGACCACCCCUCAGAAGUGCCCCAGGCAUCCCCUAAGAGCCUCUCAGUCCAGGCCUCCAGAAGUCACGAGGGGCAUGUUGGGUGGAUCCAGAGGAGAUGGCAAGACCACCAGGCACCUGGCAGGAAAGGCACACAGGUGCCUUCUGGAUAGCUGGCCAGCCUAAAGGGCACAAGAGGAGGACGUGUACAAGCAGUGGCUCUUCUGAGCUCUUCACCUGACCCAGAGGCAGGAAGCAGGCUGGAGCUAGUGUAUGCCCUGGGAAAGCUCAACAUGCCUGCACAGGCUCCUCCAGGAAGGAUACAUUCAUGCACCCACAACCGGAAGCAAAGCCAUUGGCACAGUCUUCCCAGAAUUCUGACUCCCCAAGUCACAGCUUCCCAAGGAAAAUCAGAAUGGCUGCCUCAAUCAUCCUCCAUGUCUUCCUUUCUUUUGCUGGGCCUCCAUAUUGCGAGCAACUCCCGCUGACUCUGUAGAACUGAGUCCAAAUCCAGUCGCCUUCCCACACCCCUAUUGCUCCCUGCACCUCAAACGAGAAGCAAAGCCAUUGGCACCUGGGUGUCCAGCCACCACCCUCUUUCCCUGGGACCAUUGCAAUAGCAUCCUCACGCCCCACCCCGCCCCCUUGUCCUGCUACACAGCUGGCAUGGCUGCAGCUGGCAGUGGGAUUGUUGUAAGCUACCGUUUGUGUUAAAAGGGCAGAAAAAGAACACGUUGUGUAUGAACUUGUAUUUGUAAGAGGAAGCCAUUCUGUUCUGGUAGCUACACAGAGACAGUUUAGAAGUGGAGCCUAAAGUUUAGUUUUGGGGUCCCUUAAGAAAAAUAAUAGAAAAGUGGGUACAAAAGGUGAGAUUUAGAAUUUAAAAAAAAAAAGGAGUCAUAAAAAGUUAGGAAUUAUGGAAAGCUGAGAAAUGCCACAAACAUCACAAAAUCCAGGGGGGAAAAACACAAUAAUUUUUUAAAAUUGAUUUUUAGAGGAGAGAGAGAGAGAGAGAGAGCGAGAGAGAAACAUAGAUGAGUUGCCUAUCUCGGGCACUUGGACCAGUGAUCAAAUUGCAACCUGGGUAUAUGCCCUGACAGGGAAUCGAACCUGCCAUCUUUUGGUGUAGCCAAUCAACUGAGCCAUAAAUUUUUUUUAUUUUUAUUAAUCAACUGUCUGACAGACCUUUAUAAUCCUUUCCCCCAACAGUUCAUUGAUCACCUUCCUAUGAUGAGAAUGCUGUUGUUUUGUAUAUAGGGAAUUAAAAGAUAAUUCAGUCUUUCCUCUAGCAUGGCCUAUUGCAUAAAGCUUUUACUACUACAGACUGUUUAGGCAAGUUUCCGUUUCACAAGAUGUACUUGGAAAUGCUUUGUAUAAACACACACAUUUCAGCACCAUUGUGAAAUUUGGAAAAACCUCCGUCAAGUUUUUUCUUAUAUGAUCUGUUACAGAUCUUGAUUUGUAUAUGAUUUGUUGUUUUUAGUACCGCCAUAAGUUUGUAGUACAGCCCUACAAACACAGAUAUGUGGUCAUUGCAUUUUGCAUGAUCUUCUCC